GAUGAACGCUAGCGGGAGGCCUAAUACAUGCAAGUCGAACGGCAGCGGGGGCUUCGGCCUGCCGGCGAGUGGCGCACGGGUGAGUAACGCGUACGCAACCUACCCUAUACCGGGGCAUAGUCACGGGAAACUGUGAAUAAUUCCGUAUGUGUUUCAGAGGCCGCAUGGCUUUUGGAAUAAAACUCAGGUGGUAGAGGAUGGGCGUGCGUCUGAUUAGGUAGUUGGUAGGGUAACGGCCUACCAAGCCUACGAUCAGUAGGGGGCGUGAGAGCGUGGCCCCCCCACACGGGUACGUGAGACACGGACCCGACUCCUACGGGAGGCAGCAGUAAGGAAUAUUGGUCAAUGGUGGGAACACUGAACC
Molecule: ribosomal RNA, 364 nt
Filed under: uncultured bacterium
Lineage: Bacteria
Description: bacterial SSU rRNA
Rfam family: Bacterial small subunit ribosomal RNA
Source: RNAcentral